Molecule: transfer RNA, 90 nt
Filed under: Agrobacterium rubi
Lineage: Bacteria; Pseudomonadati; Pseudomonadota; Alphaproteobacteria; Hyphomicrobiales; Rhizobiaceae
Description: tRNA-Ser
Rfam family: tRNA
About the family: Transfer RNA (tRNA) molecules are approximately 80 nucleotides in length. Their secondary structure includes four short double-helical elements and three loops (D, anti-codon, and T loops).
Source: RNAcentral
GGACAGGUGGCCGAGUGGUUGAAGGCGCCUCCCUGCUAAGGAGGUAUACCCGCAAGGGUAUCGUGGGUUCGAAUCCCAUCCUGUCCGCCA